AAUAUCGGUCAAUGGAGGCAACUCUGAACCAGCCACGCCGCUUGAUGGACUACUGCCCUAUGGGUUGUAAACUUCUUUUAUACAGGAAUAAAGUGAGUCACGUGUGACUUUUUGCUUUUACUUCAUGAAUAAGGAUCGUCUAACUCCGUGCCAGCAGCCGCGGUAAUACGGAGGAUCCAAGCGUUAUCCGGAUUUAUUGGGUUUACAGGGUGCGCAGGCGGAAGAUUAAGUCGGCGGUGAAAUUUUGCAGCUCAACUGUAAAAGUGCCAUCGAUACUGGUUUUCUUGAGUGUGGAUGAAGUAGGCGGAAUUUGUGGUGUAGCGGUGAAAUGCAUAGAUAUCACGAGGAACUCCGAUUGCGCAGGCAGCUUACUAGGCCAUAACUGACGCUCAGGCACGAAGGCGUGGGGAUCAAAC
This 416-nucleotide ribosomal RNA is filed under the name uncultured bacterium. RNAcentral's name for it is "partial 16S ribosomal RNA". It matches the Rfam family "Bacterial small subunit ribosomal RNA", at positions 360 to 773 of the family's 1533-position model. The record is from RNAcentral.